CCCAGACUCCUACGGGAGGCAGCAGUGGGGGAUAUUGCACAAUGGGGGGAACCCUGAUGCAGCGACGCCGCGUGGGUGAAGGAGCGUUUCGGCGCGUAAAGCCCUCUCGGCAGGGAAGAAGGAGGACGGUACCUGACUAAGAAGCCCCGGCUAACUACGUGCCGGCAGCCGCGGUAAUACGUAGGGGGCAAGCGUUAUCCGGAUUUACUGGGUGUAAAGGGGGCGCAGACGGCAGCGCAAGCCAGGAGUGAAAGCCCGGGGCCCAACCCCGGGACUGCUCUUGGAACUGCGCGGCUGGAGUGCAGGAGGGGCAGGCGGAAUUCCUGGUGUAGCGGUGAAAUGCGUAGAUAUCAGGAGGAACACCGGUGGCGAAGGCGGCCUGCUGGACUGCGACUGACGUUGAGGCCCGAAAGCGUGGGGAGCAAACAGGAUUAGAUACCCCGGUA
RNAcentral lists this ribosomal RNA (446 nucleotides) under uncultured bacterium. RNAcentral's name for it is "partial 16S ribosomal RNA". It matches the Rfam family "Bacterial small subunit ribosomal RNA", at positions 330 to 792 of the family's 1533-position model. The record is from RNAcentral.